UGUUCCGAUGUUUCGAGGAGCUUCACCUCGGCGAAUGCGGAGGGGCCAGCUCGCGUGCGGUGGUCGCCAGAAAGCGUAGGGCUUCUUCGCUGCUCUACCUCGUCGCCAUCAGCGUCUCUCUCUCGCUGUCACGAAGCUGUGUGACCGACUGCAGAAACCCUAGGAUCUCCGACUGCUCAGUGGUUUCCAGAUAGGAUGAUCCUCCGGACCCCAGUCCCGAAGAAGAGAAGGCCUGAAUCGGUCGUAGAAGACCUUCGUAGCCCUGUAUCUGACCGCCGCCUUGUGCGCUACGAGGAACCUGGGCCAAUAACAGCCGUCGAACCCUCCGAUGAGAUGGUCUGCACCUACCACUGCCGCCAGAUGAAGAUGAGAGGACCAAAUUCUGAGAUAGUAUUUUAUCAUUGGAGCAAAAACUUGAGGUGUCAAAGGGGCGUGAACAAGCUUUGCAGGAGAGAUUGUUGAAAGAAGUGGAUGAAUUCAUGGAACGAUAUAAGGAAUAAGUAAAACAAUGCAAUGAACUUGAGGUCAACUCAGUAAAGAAGUUGAUUCUCGCAAGAAAGCUGAAUUGUCAUAUACAUCAGCAAAAGAGAGAGCAACAGAUUUAGAAGGGAGGCUUCAGAGAUUAUCUGACAGUGCUGAGAGGGAGAAAAAUAUUCUCAAGGAAAAACGUCAACAUCUGCAAGAUGAUUCUAGCACUUGCAGAGGUUCUGUUGGUUUAUGUUUAAUGUCUUGUAUUUUAUUUUUUUAUCCUUUUCCUAGCAGAGGUUCUGUUGCUUUCAUGAGCAUUUCAUAAACGUCAAUACAUAUUAUUCAUCUAAUCAUCUACUAUUGCAAUUCUGGAUUA
Zingiber officinale is the source of this 844-nucleotide long non-coding RNA. RefSeq lists it as uncharacterized. Lineage: Eukaryota; Viridiplantae; Streptophyta; Magnoliopsida; Zingiberales; Zingiberaceae. The transcript is spliced from 3 exons. The record is from RefSeq and is a predicted model, not a curated record.